RNAcentral lists this ribosomal RNA (253 nucleotides) under uncultured bacterium. RNAcentral's name for it is "partial 16S ribosomal RNA". It matches the Rfam family "Bacterial small subunit ribosomal RNA", at positions 524 to 776 of the family's 1533-position model. The record is from RNAcentral.
UACGUAGGGCGCAAGCGUUGUCCGGAAUUAUUGGGCGUAAAGAGCUCGUAGGCGGUUUGUCGCGUCUGCUGUGAAAACCUAAGGCUCAACCUUGGGCUUGCAGUGGGUACGGGCAGACUAGAGUGCGGUAGGGGUGACUGGAAUUCCUGGUGUAGCGGUGGAAUGCGCAGAUAUCAGGAGGAACACCGAUGGCGAAGGCAGGUCACUGGGCCGCAACUGACGCUGAGGCACGAAAGCGUGGGGAGCGAACAGG